CGCCGGUGAAUCACUCCGGCCGAGCACAGGAGAUGGCGCCACGUACGAUUCACCCUUUUCCCGGCGUUAUCCGUCUAUACCGUGCACGAAUCCGGGCGGCGAUCAACGGCGGCGAGCUGAGCUGGCAGUCUGAUCCAUCGGGGCACUGUACCAUGGCACAUCUUCGUUAGUCGCCUGAACCGUCCCCCUUCCACCGACUAGCUCUCAUGAUUCUUGUGAAUAACUGGGCAAAAUUCCUUAACAAGGUUUGUUCUUGAUUUAACAGUCUUCAAUCCUUAUACAGGACAUUUGGGUCAAAACUGAGGGGAUUCGAAGAUAUGGCGCAUCAAACAUGACCUCACCUCACUGGAACCUUGUUUUAACCUUAGGUUCAGUUUCAGUUUUCUGAAACUGUUCUGACAGAGCAACUUGUAACAGGUUUUUCUCUAAUUUUUGUGUCAUAACUCAAGAGAAUAUCUGCAUCAAAGUUGUUCUCCUAUAAUAGGUUAACAAAAUUAAUGUGGUGACCUAGGGCAAAAACCC
This 522-nucleotide long non-coding RNA is filed under the name Zea mays. RNAcentral describes it as "long non-coding RNA (ZMAY_LNC004298)". Lineage: Eukaryota; Viridiplantae; Streptophyta; Magnoliopsida; Poales; Poaceae. The record is from RNAcentral.